Molecule: ribosomal RNA, 400 nt
Filed under: Transaevum sp. OZ1B
Lineage: Eukaryota; Metazoa; Arthropoda; Insecta; Orthoptera; Anostostomatidae
Description: partial 12S ribosomal RNA
Rfam family: Microsporidia small subunit ribosomal RNA
Source: RNAcentral
AAGGUCUUGAAACUCAAAGAAUUUGGCGGUAUUUUAGUCUAUUCAGAGGAAUCUGUCCCAUAAUUGAUAGUUCACGGAUUAUUAGACUUAGCUUUGUAAGAUCAAUUUGUAUACCGCCGUCAUCAGAUUAUUUUUGUAGAAUUAGAAUUUUCUGGAAAUUUUAUUARAUUGAAUGUCAGGUCAAGGUGCAGUUUAUAGUUAAGUGGAGAUGGAUUACAAUAAAUUUAUUUAAAUGGAUUUUAAUAUGAAAAGUUGAUUGAAGGUGGAUUUGAUAGUAAUUUUGUAUAGAUUUAUAAUUUGAUUAUAGCUCUAAAAUAUGUACAUAUCGCCCGUCGCUCUCACUAUUAAGGUGAGAUAAGUCGUAACAUAGUAGAUGUACUGGAAAGUGUAUCUAGAAAGU